Molecule: ribosomal RNA, 879 nt
Filed under: uncultured bacterium
Lineage: Bacteria
Description: bacterial SSU rRNA
Rfam family: Bacterial small subunit ribosomal RNA
Source: RNAcentral
AGGAUUAACGCUAGCGGCAGGCCUAAUACAUGCAAGUCGAACGGCAGCGGGUCCAGCAAUGGAUGCCGGCGAGUGGCGCACGGGUGCGUAACGCGUAUGCAAUCUACCUUUAACUGGAGGAUAGCCCCGAGAAAUCGGGAUUAAUACUCCAUACGAUUGAGAAGGGGCAUCUCUUUUCAAUGAAAGCUCCGGCGGUUUUAGAUGAGCAUGCGUGACAUUAGCUUGUUGGUGAGGUAACGGCUCACCAAGGCGACGAUGUCUAGGGGUUCUGAGAGGAUUCUCCCCCACACUGGUACUGAGACACGGACCAGACUCCUACGGGAGGCAGCAGUAAGGAAUAUUGGGCAAUGGGCGCAAGCCUGACCCAGCCAUGCCGCGUGAAGGAUGACGGCCCUACGGGUUGUAAACUUCUUUUGUACGGGAAAAAACCCCCGGUCGUGUACCGGGGUUGAUGGUACUGUAAGAAUAAGCAUCGGCUAACUCCGUGCCAGCAGCCGCGGUAAUACGGAGGAUGCAAGCGUUAUCCGGAUUCAUUGGGUUUAAAGGGUGCGCAGGCGGAUUGGUAAGUCAGUGGUGAAAUCCUACGGCUCAACUGUAGAACUGCCAUUGAUACUACCAAUCUUGAGUACACUUGAAGUGGGCGGAAUGUGUCAUGUAGCGGUGAAAUGCUUAGAUAUGACACAGAACACCGAUCGCGAAGGCAGCUCACUAAAUUGUAACUGACGCUCAUGCACGAAAGCGUGGGGAUCAAACAGGAUUAGAUACCCCGGUAGUCCACGCUGUAAACGAUGAUCACUCGAUGUUGGCGAUACACUGUCAGCGUCUAAGCGAAAGCAUUAAGUGAUCCACCUGGGGAGUACGGCCCGCAGGGUGAAACUC